This is a non-coding RNA of Camellia sinensis, 447 nucleotides long. NCBI's taxonomy places the organism in Eukaryota, Viridiplantae, Streptophyta, Magnoliopsida, Ericales, Theaceae. The record is from RefSeq and is a predicted model, not a curated record.
AACAGAUUAAUUAUAGGUACAUGUAAGUUGUUGUAGAUGAAAUCAUUUUUGGAAAUGUUGAUCCACUGAAGCAUCCAAGCAAGUGGAAUUUGGGAAAGCUCUUGAAGGAGUUCAAUGGAAUUUCAGGGAAGAUAUUGAAUGACUCAUUUGUGGCGAUUACAGAGGUAGCUUUACGGGAAUCCCUCACACAGCUUCAUGAGUUAAGUUCUGUAAGUAUUAACGAUUUUCACCUUCCAAACUUGCCCUCACCUCCAAAUGCCUUCAGAGGAAUACGUAGGAAGAGCUCCUCAUUGAAACGUUGGCUUGCCGUAUGCUCAGAUGAUUCAGCUAAAGAUGGAAAGUACCGACCAACUGUUAAUCUUCUCCGCAAGUACCUUGGAGAUUUUAUAAUUGCUUCAUAUUUGGAUGUUGUACAAGAAUCUGAGUAUGAUGAUACAUAUAUGAAGG